RNAcentral lists this ribosomal RNA (421 nucleotides) under uncultured Clostridium sp. RNAcentral describes it as "bacterial SSU rRNA". It matches the Rfam family "Bacterial small subunit ribosomal RNA", at positions 355 to 794 of the family's 1533-position model. The record is from RNAcentral. Lineage: Bacteria; Bacillati; Bacillota; Clostridia; Eubacteriales; Clostridiaceae.
UGGGGGAUAUUGCACAAUGGGGGAAACCCUGAUGCAGCGACGCCGCGUGAGGGAAGAAGGUUUUCGGAUUGUAAACCUCUGUCUUCGGUGACGAAAAUGACGGUAGCCGAGGAGGAAGCCACGGCUAACUACGUGCCAGCAGCCGCGGUAAUACGUAGGUGGCAAGCGUUGUCCGGAAUUACUGGGUGUAAAGGGAGCGUAGGCGGGGAUACAAGUUGAAUGUUAAAACUAUGGGCUCAACCCAUAGUUGCGUUCAAAACUGUAUUUCUUGAGUGAAGUAGAGGUAAGCGGAAUUCCUAGUGUAGCGGUGAAAUGCGUAAAUAUUAGGAGGAACACCAGUGGCGAAGGCGGCUUACUGGGCUUUAACUGACGCUGAGGCUCGAAAGCGUGGGUAGCAAACAGGAUUAGAUACCCUGGUAGU